RNAcentral lists this ribosomal RNA (1088 nucleotides) under Citrobacter farmeri. RNAcentral's name for it is "partial 23S ribosomal RNA". It matches the Rfam family "Bacterial large subunit ribosomal RNA", at positions 1783 to 2863 of the family's 2925-position model. Lineage: Bacteria; Pseudomonadati; Pseudomonadota; Gammaproteobacteria; Enterobacterales; Enterobacteriaceae. The record is from RNAcentral.
AUACCAGCUGGCUGCAACUGUUUAUUAAAAACACAGCACUGUGCAAACACGAAAGUGGACGUAUACGGUGUGACGCCUGCCCGGUGCCGGAAGGUUAAUUGAUGGGGUUAUCCGUAAGGAGAAGCUCUUGAUCGAAGCCCCGGUAAACGGCGGCCGUAACUAUAACGGUCCUAAGGUAGCGAAAUUCCUUGUCGGGUAAGUUCCGACCUGCACGAAUGGCGUAAUGAUGGCCAGGCUGUCUCCACCCGAGACUCAGUGAAAUUGAACUCGCUGUGAAGAUGCAGUGUACCCGCGGCAAGACGGAAAGACCCCGUGAACCUUUACUAUAGCUUGACACUGAACACUGGUCCUUGAUGUGUAGGAUAGGUGGGAGGCUUUGAAGUGUGGACGCCAGUCUGCAUGGAGCCGCCCUUGAAAUACCACCCUUUAAUGGCUGGUGUUCUAACGUAGGCCCGUUACCCGGGUUGCGGACAGUGUCUGGUGGGUAGUUUGACUGGGGCGGUCUCCUCCUAAAGAGUAACGGAGGAGCACGAAGGUUAGCUAAUCCUGGUCGGACAUCAGGAGGUUAGUGCAAAGGCAUAAGCUAGCUUGACUGCGAGCGUGACGGCGCGAGCAGGUGCGAAAGCAGGUCUUAGUGAUCCGGUGGUUCUGAAUGGAAGGGCCAUCGCUCAACGGAUAAAAGGUACUCCGGGGAUAACAGGCUGAUACCGCCCAAGAGUUCAUAUCGACGGCGGUGUUUGGCACCUCGAUGUCGGCUCAUCACAUCCUGGGGCUGAAGUAGGUCCCAAGGGUAUGGCUGUUCGCCAUUUAAAGUGGUACGCGAGCUGGGUUUAGAACGUCGUGAGACAGUUCGGUCCCUAUCUGCCGUGGGCGCUGGAGAAUUGAGGGGGGCUGCUCCUAGUACGAGAGGACCGGAGUGGACGCAUCACUGGUGUUCGGGUUGUCAUGCCAAUGGCACUGCCCGGUAGCUAAAUGCGGAAGAGAUAAGUGCUGAAAGCAUCUAAGCACGAAACUUGCCCCGAGAUGAGUUCUCCCUGACCCUUAAAGGGUCCUGAAGGAACGUUGAAGACGACGACGUUGAUAGGCCG